UGGAUCCAGACUUUGAUCAUGGCUCAGGAUGAACGCUAGCUACAGGCUUAACACAUGCAAGUCGAGGGGAAACGAUAUUGGAAGCUUGCUUCCGAUAGGCGUCGACCGGCGCACGGGUGAGUAACGCGUAUCCAACCUGCCCAUCACUUGGGAAUAACCUUGCGAAAGUAAGACUAAUGCCCAAUGACAUUUAUAGAAGACAUCUGAAAUGAAUUAAAGAUUUAUCGGUGAUGGAUGGGGAUGCGUCUGAUUAGCUUGUUGGCGGGGUAACGGCCCACCAAGGCGACGAUCAGUAGGGGUUCUGAGAGGAAGGUCCCCCACAUUGGAACUGAGACACGGUCCAAACUCCUACGGGAGGCAGCAGUGAGGAAUAUUGGUCAAUGGGCGAGAGCCUGAACCAGCCAAGUAGCGUGCAGGAUGACGGCCCUAUGGGUUGUAAACUGCUUUUAUAGGGGAAUAAAGUGAGCCACGUGUGGUUUUUUGCAUGUACCCUAUGAAUAAGGACUGGCUAAUUCCGUGCCAGCAGCCGCGGUAAUACGGAAGGUCCGGGCGUUAUCCGGAUUUAUUGGGUUUAAAGGGAGCGUAGGCCGGAGAUUAAGCGUGUUGUGAAAUGUAGAUGCUCAACAUCUGAACUGCAGCGCGAACUGGUUUCCUUGAGUACGCAUAAAGUGGGCGGAAUUCGUGGUGUAGCGGUGAAAUGCUUAGAUAUCACGAAGAACUCCGAUUGCGAAGGCAGCUCACUGGGGCGCAACUGACGCUGAAGCUCGAAAGCGCGGGUAUCGAACAGGAUUAGAUACCCUGGUAGUCCGCGCGGUAAACGAUGGAUGCCCGCUGUUGGGCCAACUGGUUCAGCGGCCAAGCGAAAGCAUUAAGCAUCCCACCUGGGGAGUACGCCGGCGACGGUGCAACUCAAAGGAAUUGACGGA
RNAcentral lists this ribosomal RNA (926 nucleotides) under uncultured bacterium. Its description in RNAcentral is "bacterial SSU rRNA". It matches the Rfam family "Bacterial small subunit ribosomal RNA", at positions 1 to 917 of the family's 1533-position model. RNAcentral also lists the same sequence under 1 other name. The record is from RNAcentral.